Molecule: ribosomal RNA, 157 nt
Filed under: Bacillus paralicheniformis
Lineage: Bacteria; Bacillati; Bacillota; Bacilli; Caryophanales; Bacillaceae
Description: partial 16S ribosomal RNA
Rfam family: Bacterial small subunit ribosomal RNA
Source: RNAcentral
UACACACCGCCCGUCACACCACGAGAGUUUGUAACACCCGAAGUCGGUGAGGUAACCUUUUGGAGCCAGCCGCCGAAGGUGGGACAGAUGAUUGGGGUGAAGUCGUAACAAGGUAGCCGUAUCGGAAGGUGCGGCUGGAUCACCUCCUUUCUAAGGA